This 455-nucleotide ribosomal RNA is filed under the name uncultured organism. Its description in RNAcentral is "partial 16S ribosomal RNA". It matches the Rfam family "Bacterial small subunit ribosomal RNA", at positions 329 to 800 of the family's 1533-position model. The record is from RNAcentral.
ACGUACACUCCUACGGGAGGCAGCAGUGGGGAAUAUUGGACAAUGGGCGCAAGCCUGAUCCAGCCAUGCCGCGUGAGUGAUGAAGGCCCUAGGGUUGUAAAGCUCUUUCACCGGUGAAGAUAAUGACGGUAACCGGAGAAGAAGCCCCGGCUAACUUCGUGCCAGCAGCCGCGGUAAUACGAAGGGGGCUAGCGUUGUUCGGAUUUACUGGGCGUAAAGCGCACGUAGGCGGACUAUUAAGUCAGGGGUGAAAUCCCGGGGCUCAACCCCGGAACUGCCUUUGAUACUGGUAGUCUUGAGUUCGAGAGAGGUGAGUGGAAUUCCGAGUGUAGAGGUGAAAUUCGUAGAUAUUCGGAGGAACACCAGUGGCGAAGGCGGCUUACUGGCUCGAUACUGACGCUGAGGUGCGAAAGCGUGGGGAGCAAACAGGAUUAGAAACCCUAGUAGUCCCAUGA